GCCGGAGUAGCUCAGCCUGGUUAGAGCGUUCGACUCAUAAUCGAAAGGCCGAGGGUUCAGAUCCCUCCUCCGGCA
This 75-nucleotide transfer RNA is filed under the name archaeon. RNAcentral describes it as "tRNA-Met". It matches the Rfam family "tRNA". From Rfam's summary of the family: Transfer RNA (tRNA) molecules are approximately 80 nucleotides in length. Their secondary structure includes four short double-helical elements and three loops (D, anti-codon, and T loops). RNAcentral also lists the same sequence under 1 other name. The record is from RNAcentral.